Molecule: long non-coding RNA, 1839 nt
Filed under: Heterocephalus glaber (naked mole-rat)
Lineage: Eukaryota; Metazoa; Chordata; Mammalia; Rodentia; Bathyergidae
Description: lncRNA (ENSHGLG00000032105.1)
Source: RNAcentral
GAGGUAUGGCUGGGUCAAAUGGAACCUCUAGUUUUAGUUUUUUGAGAAAUCUCAAAAAGGGCAUUAUGGAGUGGAGAUAUUUUCUGGGGCCAGAAAAUCCAAUUAGAAACUGGGAAAAGAUAUGAAGACCCAAGAAAUAAGCACAUGAAGUAAUGUGACACCGUAAGACAAGCCCAUGGGAAAAUACUCAGGGCCAGAGCUCAGGGAGAAAGUGACAAUGCACCAUGGGGGGCCACUAAGCAGCAGUGUUCUGGGCUCCAGAAACACAGAGCCAGAUCCUGGGCCUGCUGUGCCCAAGCCUGGCAGGUGGCCAGACAGGAGCCACAGCUUCAUGUACCACUUCCAGUGGACACAGUCGCCCACACAGCCUGAGACAGGCUGCCCACGUCUGACUCACAAUUCGCCCUGGCCCUCAGGACCACAAGAAAAAGUGAAGUUGCCCCCACCACCAAGGACAGGGUAAGGGGCCACAUGCCCAUGCUAGCUGGGCCUUCGAGGUUGGGCGUGGGUGUGUGUGCCCACUUGCUGCAAUACACGCCCACCCUGGUGUUUAAGUCAGACUGGAGACUAAGAUGUCACUGAAGUCGAGGGUUCAUUGAGCUGUACAUAUGCUGGCCAAAAGAUGAAGGGCCAGUCCUGGGACAAAUUCCCUAAGCCACCAGUGGUAUGGCCGGACAGGAGAACUAAGAGGCCAGGGUGUUUUAUAGGAACCUGUUGAGGAGAAGAAAUACACUGAGGCACCAUUGUUGUGGCUAAAUAGGGCAGGACCAUGAGAAGUGGCCAGAGUCCUGGGUCAGAGGUGAGUCCACAAAGGGGUGUCCUUCCUGCUUCUGUGUUGGUGGUUUCUGAAAGCAGCAGUCACUCCAGGGGGGGGGAUCUUCAGCAUACAGGAAAGGAAUGUGGCAUAGCAGGGUUUUUCUUUUUUCUUUGUUGAUUUAGCUAAAGCUGUGAGUUAAAAGGCCUUCCCUUAUCUCCUUCCUCCACUCUGGCCUGGAACUUAACUUGGGACAUCUCAAGAUUUUUCUCUUAUCACAGGUAGCCCAGACAUUGAGGCGUCUGCUGAGAGCAACCGACUGCCCUGAACUGGAGCCUUUUGUUCACUCCUCUGCUAGGAUAUGAGGUCCUGAAAUUCUUUCCUGUCCCAGUGUCAAGAACUUACCCCCUGGGACCCCAUCCAGUGAGGAUCCAUCCAGGAGAGAGAGUUUUCCAAGUUGCUCAGUCUGGCGGAUAACAAAGCACCAGAGCUGAUGUGGACCAGUUUGAAGGCAUCCUCUCCAGGCUGGAUUCCCUGCAGGGAAGGCUUCUGCCCAGCAAGCUCCCACCUACUUUGCAGGCACCACGACCAGCCUAUCUGGUGACCCUCAGCCCUUUAGAGCUGCUGCAUGGACAGGAGAGCUGAGGCUACACCUGGCCCAUUCCCUUGCAGGCAUUCUGUCUUGUAUGUUGGCCCAUUUGUCCAGCCUAACAUUUUCUUCUGAGAAUUUUGUGGGCUAAUUUGAUGAUCUGGAAGCUGCACUUCAGAAGAGCAGGGUUUAAGAACCCUGUGUUAACACCUGGCUUCCUCCCUGAGGUAAUGCACUGGGCUGCCCUAGGGUCAUACUUCUUGUCUUCUGGGUCUUUCCCCUGGUGCAUCUGCCACUGUUACCAUGUUUGUCUACAACUUGUUUUCAGCUGAUUCUUUCCUUUCCGUAUUAUUUUUGCCUCACAUAAAAUUCAUCAGUUCUGUCCCCUUCCCCACAUGACUGUACUGCCACACACUCACAGGACUUUGGUAGUGAGGGGUUUUUUUUUUGGUGGGGGUUCUCCCUUUCUAGUAAGUUCUCCAACUAAUUCUUUUUA